AGCGAACGCUGGCGGCAUGCCUAACACAUGCAAGUCGCACGGGGGGCUUCGGCCUCCCAGUGGCGGACGGGUGAGGAACGCGUAGGGACCUGUCGAGGGGUGGGGGCUAACCGCGGGAAACUGCGGCUAAUACCGCAUGACGCCGCGGCGUGACAGCCGGGGCCAAAUGCGAACGCCGCCCGCCGAGGGGCCUGCGUCCGAUUAGCUGGUUGGCCGGGUAGCGGCCCACCAAGGCGUCGAUCGGUAGCUGGGCUGAGAGGGUGAUCAGCCACACCGGGACUGAGACACGGCCCGGAAUCCUACGGGAGGCAGCAGUGGGGAAUAUUGGACAAUGGGCGCAAGCCUGAUCCAGCAAUGCCGCGUGGGUGAAGAAGGUCUUCGGAUUGUAAAGCCCUUUCGGCGGGGACGAUGGUGACGGUACCCGCAGAAGAAGCCCCGGCUAACUUCGUG
RNAcentral lists this ribosomal RNA (450 nucleotides) under uncultured bacterium. RNAcentral's name for it is "partial 16S ribosomal RNA". It matches the Rfam family "Bacterial small subunit ribosomal RNA", at positions 28 to 507 of the family's 1533-position model. The record is from RNAcentral.